Malus domestica (apple) is the source of this 373-nucleotide long non-coding RNA. RefSeq lists it as uncharacterized. Lineage: Eukaryota; Viridiplantae; Streptophyta; Magnoliopsida; Rosales; Rosaceae. The record is from RefSeq and is a predicted model, not a curated record.
AGAAUUGGGAGUCUGGUAGAAAACGUCUCUGCCUCAUCAAAUUCAACACUUCACUUCUUUUAAGUGCUUUACGUCUCGACUAUUUGAGGAAGUGGUGGCUUUACCAGAGUGGUUGGGGAGCAUUACACUCCCUAUAUAAACAUUGCUUUGAUAUUUGAAGUACAAAGAAGUGCUUGGUCAGAAGCGAGAAAGGAGGAAGCACGAUUGUGGCAAUACAGUCAAUGUGUCAAUAUGCAUUUGCAUUUGUAUGCUAAUGGAGUUGAAAGAAAAUGGUAACUCUUUAUUCUGGUAUUGAACUAUCUGAGCAAACUGCCAUCUUUGUUUCAUUUUCAUUAGUGUGGUGAAAGAAAAACAUCUUAAAUUUGUGAGCAAA